Molecule: unclassified non-coding RNA, 727 nt
Filed under: Hevea brasiliensis (rubber tree)
Lineage: Eukaryota; Viridiplantae; Streptophyta; Magnoliopsida; Malpighiales; Euphorbiaceae
Source: RNAcentral
CCUGGAAUUGAUGAAAGAUCCUGUCAUUGUUUCAUCCGGCCAGACUUACGAGCGUUCUUCAAUUGAGAAGUGGCUGGAAGCAGGGCAUAGCACUUGUCCCAAGACACAACAAGUCCUCACUAGCAAUGUUAUCACACCAAACUAUGUGUUGCGGAGCCUCAUAGCACAGUGGUGUGAAAUGAAUGGAGUUGAAUCACCCAAACGACCAGGUAGUUCACCCAAUAAAUCAGCAUCCGCAUGCACGCCUGCUGAGCACUCGACGAUAGAAAAUCUCCUGAGAAAGCUCACAUCUGGCAGCCCUGAAGAUCGUCUCUCAGCCACAGGUGAAAUCCGCCUUCUUGCUAAACGCAAUGCUGAUAAUCGUGUUGCAAUAGCUGAAGCAGGUGCUAUUCCUCUGCUUGUUGACCUUCUUUCCACACCCGAUUCUCGGAUCCAAGAGCAUGCUGUUACAGCACUACUUAACCUUUCUAUCUGUGAGGAUAACAAACGGAGCAUUGUAACAUCAGGGGCAGUGCCUGGUAUCGUCCAUGUUCUUAAGAAGGGGAGCAUGGAAGCACGUGAAAAUGCAGCGGCUGCACUAUUUAGCCUUUCAGUUAUAGAUGAGAAUAAGGUCAUAAUUGGUACUUUUGGAGCAAUACCUCCACUUGUAACAUUAUUAAGUGAUGGCACCCAGAGAGGGAAGAAAGACGCUGCUACCGCACUUUUCAAUCUGUGCAUUUAUCAAGGG